Molecule: ribosomal RNA, 460 nt
Filed under: uncultured bacterium
Lineage: Bacteria
Description: partial 16S ribosomal RNA
Rfam family: Bacterial small subunit ribosomal RNA
Source: RNAcentral
CCUACGGGAGGCAGCAGUGAGGAAUAUUGGUCAAUGGACGAGAGUCUGAACCAGCCAAGUAGCGUGAAGGAUGACUGCCCUAUGGGUUGUAAACUUCUUUUAUAAAGGAAUAAAACGAGGCACGUGUGCCUUUUUGCAUGUACUUUAUGAAUAAGGAUCGGCUAACUCCGUGCCAGCAGCCGCGGUAAUACGGAGGAUCCGAGCGUUAUCCGGAUUUAUUGGGUUUAAAGGGAGCGUAGAUGGGUUGUUAAGUCAGUUGUGAAAGUUUGCGGCUCAACCGUAAAAUUGCAAUUGAUACUGGCAGUCUUGAGUACAGUUGAGGUAAGCGGAAUUCGUGGUGUAGCGGUGGAAUGCUUAGAUAUCACGAAGAACCCCGAUUGCGAAGGCAGCUUACUAAACUGUGACUGACAUUGAUGCUCGAAAGUGUGGGUAUCAAACAGGAUUAGAUACCCCUGUAGUC